AUUGAACGCUGGCGGCAGGCCUAACACAUGCAAGUCGAGCGGAUGAAGGGAGCUUGCUCCUGGAUUCAGCGGCGGACGGGUGAGUAAUGCCUAGGAAUCUGCCUGGUAGUGGGGGAUAACGUCCGGAAACGGGCGCUAAUACCGCAUACGUCCUGAGGGAGAAAGUGGGGGAUCUUCGGACCUCACGCUAUCAGAUGAGCCUAGGUCGGAUUAGCUAGUUGGUGGGGUAAAGGCCUACCAAGGCGACGAUCCGUAACUGGUCUGAGAGGAUGAUCAGUCAACCGGAAAUUGGAACCCGGUCAAGACCCCUACGGGAGGCAGCGUGGGGAAAAAUUGGCAAUUGGCCGAAACCUUGAUCCAGCCAGGCGGGGGGUGGGAAGAAGUUUUCCGAUUUUAAAACCCUUUUAAGUGGGAGGGAAGGGAAUUAAGUUAAACCUUUCUUGUUUGACCGUACCCACAGAAAUAACCACCGCUAACCUCCUU
This 483-nucleotide ribosomal RNA is filed under the name uncultured bacterium. Its description in RNAcentral is "partial 16S ribosomal RNA". It matches the Rfam family "Bacterial small subunit ribosomal RNA", at positions 30 to 507 of the family's 1533-position model. The record is from RNAcentral.